This 468-nucleotide ribosomal RNA is filed under the name uncultured bacterium. RNAcentral describes it as "partial 16S ribosomal RNA". It matches the Rfam family "Bacterial small subunit ribosomal RNA", at positions 28 to 507 of the family's 1533-position model. The record is from RNAcentral.
GACGAACGCUGGCGGCGUGCUUAACACAUGCAAGUCGAACGGAAAGGCCCUGCUCUUGCGGGGUGCUCGAGUGGCGAACGGAUGAGUAACACGUGAGUAACCUGCCCUUGACUCUGGGAUAACUUCAGGAAACUGGGGAUACUACCGGAUAGGAGCUCCUGCUGCUUGGAGGGGGUUGCAAUGUUUCGGCGGCUGGGGAUGGACUCGCGGCUUAUCAGCUUGUUGGUGGGGUAGUGGCUUACCAAGUCUUUGACGGGUAGCCGGCCUGAGAGGUUGACCGGCCACAUUGGGACUGAGAUACGGCCCAGACUCCUACGGGAGGCAGCAGUGGGGAAUAUUGCACAAUGGGCGGAAGCCUGAUGCAGCAACGCCGCGUGCGGGAUGACGGCCUUCGAGUUGUAAACCGCUUUCGCCUGUGACGAAGCGUGAGUGACGGUAAUGGGUAAAGAAGCACCGGCUAACUACGUG